AUCCAUCUGACGAAUCCCAAAUAGGACGAAGUGCGUAUCCUAAAU
This 45-nucleotide non-coding RNA is filed under the name Trichobilharzia regenti. Lineage: Eukaryota; Metazoa; Platyhelminthes; Trematoda; Strigeidida; Schistosomatidae. The record is from RNAcentral.